CCUACGGGUGGCAGCAGUGGGGAAUAUUGCGCAAUGGACGAGAGCCUGACGCAGCGAAGCCGCGUGAGGGAUGAAGGUCUUCGGAUCGUAAACCUCUGUCAGCAGGGAAGAAAGAUCUCUGUGCUAAUCAGCAGUGAAUUGACGGUACCUGCAAAGGAAGCACCGGCUAACUCCGUGCCAGCAGCCGCGGUAAUACGGAGGGUGCGAGCGUUAAUCGGAAUUACUGGGCGUAAAGCGCUCGUAGGCGGUAUGUCAAGUCAAGGGUGAAAUCCCCGCGCUCAACGGUGGAACUGCCUUUGAAACUGGCAAACUGGAGUGUGUGAGAGGAUAGUGGAAUUCCAGGUGUAGGAGUGAAAUGCGUAGAUAUCUGGAGGAACAUCAGUGGCGAAGGCGACUAUCUGGCACAUAACUGACGCUGAGGAGCGAAAGCGUGGGUAGCAAACAGGAUUAGAUACCCGUGUAGUC
RNAcentral lists this ribosomal RNA (465 nucleotides) under uncultured bacterium. Its description in RNAcentral is "partial 16S ribosomal RNA". It matches the Rfam family "Bacterial small subunit ribosomal RNA", at positions 338 to 795 of the family's 1533-position model. The record is from RNAcentral.